Molecule: long non-coding RNA, 575 nt
Organism: Ailuropoda melanoleuca (giant panda)
Lineage: Eukaryota; Metazoa; Chordata; Mammalia; Carnivora; Ursidae
Exons: 4
Source: RefSeq, a predicted model, not a curated record
GGGGCAGGUGAAGCAUGUAUGUAUAGUAGUCAUCUUGUAACCAUGGCUGAACACCACAAGCUAAGAAUGGCAGGACAGGGGGCUAGGAGAAGCCUGGACCUUGAGGAGAUUCUUGAGGACUGCACCAGCCCGUGUUUGCAUACAGGAUAGAACUGAGGCUACUACCAGGAGAGGGAUAUAUUGAUACUGAAUAAAGAAGUGUCUUCACUGCAAAGCACAGCAUGGCUGAGGAUCAUUAAAUGAAGAGGCAUUCUAGACGACAACGCCUUUAUUCCUGGAGGCUUAUGCAACACAAGAUGACUCCUGCCCUUCUAGGAAGAAUCUCUUACUAAAAUGAAAGUGUUUCAAGAUCAUAAAUGUUUGCAAUGAGAAUCUUGUCAGUGAGGACUCUGAGACCAGAAAUGCAAAUGACUAAUGUUCAAGUGACUAACAAAAGAUGGUGUAAACCUCCAUAUUCCUCAUCUCCACAAGCAUAAAGAAAGGUAUAAUCUAUUUUUAGUAAAUUGUGGGAGUGAAUUACACCUAAUAUCUAAAUUAAUUAGCUGGUCAUUCUUGAUUAACACUUUUCCUGUUGC